UACAGAGGUCUCAAGCGUUGUUCGGAUUCAUUGGGCGUAAAGGGCGCGUAGGUGGCGCGACAAGUCAGUGGUGAAAGCUCGACGCUUAACGUCGAGUCGGCCACUGAUACUGUUGGGCUUGAGCACUGUAGAGGCAGAUGGAAUUCCGGGUGUAGCGGUGGAAUGCGUAGAGAUCCGGAAGAACACCGGUGGCGAAGGCGGUCUGCUGGGCAGUAGCUGACACUGAGGCGCGACAGCGUGGGGAGCAAACAGG
RNAcentral lists this ribosomal RNA (253 nucleotides) under uncultured bacterium. Its description in RNAcentral is "partial 16S ribosomal RNA". It matches the Rfam family "Bacterial small subunit ribosomal RNA", at positions 524 to 776 of the family's 1533-position model. The record is from RNAcentral.